Molecule: long non-coding RNA, 374 nt
Filed under: Bos taurus (domestic cattle)
Lineage: Eukaryota; Metazoa; Chordata; Mammalia; Artiodactyla; Bovidae
Description: long non-coding RNA NONBTAT008203
Source: RNAcentral
CAGAGCAUCUGGUGGAAGUACCAUUCACCGCUUCUUUCAGGAGAUGAUCUGUUUUCUUUAUCUUGGUGGAGGGGGAAGAAUUUCCUUGCAUUAACCUUCUGCUUGUGCCACCAAUCAGCCGUUAGGAAACUCAAGACAGUUUUAAAGCUGCCACGGACAACAAUGAAUUAGAGCGGAAGGAAGGGGGAGGCGGCUGUUGCGAGAAAAAGUGAUCUGAGAAGCGCGCUGUAAAUCAUCAGUGGAACUAUAAGUUCUUUGAACAAAUGCACUGAAAAUAGUUUUGUUGUCUGUCACCAAGUUUAUGUUUCCACUUAAAAAAAAAAGGGGUUAAUAUGUAUUUACCAUCAAGUUGCAUAGUUCAUCUUGUUUCACAC